AACGAACGCUGGCGGCAUGCCUAACACAUGCAAGUCGAACGAGAACGCCGGGCCUAGUGGCGCACGGGUGCGUAACGCGUGGGAACCUGCCCUUAGGUUCGGAAUCACUCCCCGAAGGGGGUGCUAAUACCGGUUAAUCUCUUCGGGCCAAAGAUUUAUCGCCUUUGGAUGGGCCCGCGUUGGAUUAGCGGGUGGGUAGGGGAAAAGCCUACCAAGGCGACGAUGCAGAGCUGGUCGGAGACGAGGACCAGCUACGGUGGGACUGAGGCACGGCCCAGACCCCUAGGGAGGGGAGCAGAAGGGAACAUUGUACGAGGAGGGAAGGCCUGGUCCAGCAAUGCGGCGGAAGAGAGGAAUGCCUUAGGGUUGUAAAGCUCGCUUACCCGAGAUGAUAAUGACAGUACCGGGAGAAGAAGCUCCGGCUAACUCCGUG
This 433-nucleotide ribosomal RNA is filed under the name uncultured bacterium. RNAcentral's name for it is "partial 16S ribosomal RNA". It matches the Rfam family "Bacterial small subunit ribosomal RNA", at positions 29 to 507 of the family's 1533-position model. The record is from RNAcentral.